Molecule: non-coding RNA, 72 nt
Organism: Kogia breviceps (pygmy sperm whale)
Lineage: Eukaryota; Metazoa; Chordata; Mammalia; Artiodactyla; Physeteridae
Source: the annotation of a RefSeq genome assembly
UCCCUGGUGGUCCAGUGGUUAAGACUCUGCGUUCCUAAUGCAGGGGCCUGGGUUUGAUCCCUGGUCAGGGAA